CGUAUGCUCCCUCCGUCCAACAAAAGAUGUAUCAACUUUGUCAAAAGUUGGAUGUAUCUAGACAUGACUUAGUGUAUAGAUGCAUUCAAAUUUAGUCAAAGUUGAAACAUCCUUUGUUGGACGGAGGGAGUAUAAU
Non-coding RNA from Brachypodium distachyon (stiff brome), 136 nucleotides. The record is from Rfam. NCBI's taxonomy places the organism in Eukaryota, Viridiplantae, Streptophyta, Magnoliopsida, Poales, Poaceae.